Molecule: unclassified non-coding RNA, 760 nt
Filed under: Stylophora pistillata
Lineage: Eukaryota; Metazoa; Cnidaria; Anthozoa; Scleractinia; Pocilloporidae
Description: uncharacterized LOC111323041, transcript variant X1
Source: RNAcentral
CAGUCACCAUAAGAGAAGAUCAUUCUCUCUUGAAGAAAGACGCGUGAGCCUGGGGUUGAACCAUUGUCUACCUAAACCUGUAAGGAGGUAGAAACAAACAAAAACAAACACUGAGGGAAAAACAAGGUCGAGCAGAUUAUCCUUCUCGAGGGCUGCCGAGGAAAGAGAAAUCGAUGUAAAAGAUUUAAAACUCGCUUGUAAAAUUAAUUAUCUUACAUCAUUUCCCCUCUACUAACAGGCUAUGAACGAAAUUACAAAUCGACAAGGUUUCGGAAGGGAAACGGAGUGGCUUCCGAGGUACAUUUGCAUAUUUCCCUGUGAUCAUUUAAACCUUGGAUAUGUCGAAAUAUUUCAAGUCUAAAGAUAGCAUUGUUAAGUAACUCUUCAUUUUUGUCAGUCAUUGGGAAUUCAGUUGUGUUAGCGAAAGUGCAGACGUCUUCAUUUCACUUUCAUUGUGUACUGUCAUGCAACGGACGCACCAUUGUCCUCCUUUUCGACUUUUCCCUCUCGCUCUGUUUCCAGAGUUUUUACAGUUCUUCAAACAUUUGCAGGAGCUCGUCGACCUUGGCAACCGGCAGGCCAAGGCUUAACAGUUCCGGAAAUGAUGAAAUGUUCAUUCGCAGUCAUUUUUUUUGAAUGUCACGCAACGGUCGACGGCACUAGACGACCCCCAGGGGGGUACUCGCAUAUAUGGUACGUGCCGCGGAAUAGGGUAUGGUUUUUGAGGUUCUCGGUCCUUAAAUAGAGUAUCUUUUUUUAC